This 544-nucleotide ribosomal RNA is filed under the name Yersinia enterocolitica. RNAcentral describes it as "partial 23S ribosomal RNA". It matches the Rfam family "Bacterial large subunit ribosomal RNA", at positions 2263 to 2806 of the family's 2925-position model. Lineage: Bacteria; Pseudomonadati; Pseudomonadota; Gammaproteobacteria; Enterobacterales; Yersiniaceae. The record is from RNAcentral.
GGGUAGUUUGACUGGGGCGGUCUCCUCCCAAAGAGUAACGGAGGAGCACGAAGGUUAGCUAAUCACGGUCGGACAUCGUGAGGUUAGUGCAAAGGCAUAAGCUAGCUUGACUGCGAGAGUGACGGCUCGAGCAGGUACGAAAGUAGGUCUUAGUGAUCCGGUGGUUCUGAAUGGAAGGGCCAUCGCUCAACGGAUAAAAGGUACUCCGGGGAUAACAGGCUGAUACCGCCCAAGAGUUCAUAUCGACGGCGGUGUUUGGCACCUCGAUGUCGGCUCAUCACAUCCUGGGGCUGAAGUAGGUCCCAAGGGUAUGGCUGUUCGCCAUUUAAAGUGGUACGCGAGCUGGGUUUAGAACGUCGUGAGACAGUUCGGUCCCUAUCUGCCGUGGGCGUUGGAAGAUUGAGAGGGGCUGCUCCUAGUACGAGAGGACCGGAGUGGACGAAUCACUGGUGUUCGGGUUGUCAUGCCAAUGGCAUUGCCCGGUAGCUAAAUUCGGAAGAGAUAACCGCUGAAAGCAUCUAAGCGGGAAACUUGCCUCGAGAUG